GCCAUCCUGUACUGAACCAUGUCCUGGGCUGCCCUCCUCCUCUCUCUCACCUCUCUCUGCACAUAUUCGGCCGCCCAAGUCUCACUAACACAGCCGGUGUCUGAAUCAGUGAAGCCGGGGGAGACAGUGAGAAUCUCCUGCACACUCAGUGGUUACAGUAUCAGUGAUCGCUAUGUGUUCUGGUACCAGCAGAAAUCAGGGAAUCGUCCCAGAUACUUACUGUAUUUUCGUUAUGACUCAGACAAACACCAGGGAGAUGGGGUGCCUGAUCGGUUCUCUGGAUCCAAAGAUUCCCCUAAUAAUGUUGGCUAUUUAACCAUUAGAGGAGCCUUACUAGAAGAUGAUGCAGAUUAUUACUGUGCUAUAUGGCAUCCUCCAUCCAACACGUUGCACAGUGGUGUAUUGCUGUGA
Xenopus tropicalis (tropical clawed frog) is the source of this 411-nucleotide non-coding RNA. NCBI's taxonomy places the organism in Eukaryota, Metazoa, Chordata, Amphibia, Anura, Pipidae. The record is from the annotation of a RefSeq genome assembly.